AGGGUUUGAUCAUGGCUCAGAACGUACGCUGGCGGCACGCCUAACACAUGCAAGUCGAACGAAGUAGCAAUACUUAGUGGCAGACGGGUGAGUAACAUGUAGGUAUCUGCCCUUUGGCCUGGAAUAACACGAGGAAACUUGUGCUAAUACCGGAUAAGUCUUUACGGAGAAAGCUUUAUGCACCAUUGGAUGAGCCUGCACUUGAUUAGUUUGUUGGUGGGGUAAUGGCCUACCAAGACUGUGAUCAAUAGCUGAUUUGAGAGGAUGAUCAGCCACAUUGGGACUGAGACACGGCCCAAACUCCUACGGGAGGCAGCAGUGGGGAAUCUUGCACAAUGGAGGAAACUCUGAUGCAGCGAUGCCGCGUGAGUGAAGAAGGCCCUUGGGUUGUAAAGCUCUUUCGUCGGGGAAGAAAAUGACUGUACCCGAAUAAGAAGGUCCGGCUAACUUCGUGCCAGCAGCCGCGGUAAUACGAAGGGACCUAGCGUAGUUCGGAAUUACUGGGCUUAAAGAGUUCGUAGGUGGUUGAAAAAGUUAGUGGUGAAAUCCCAGAGCUUAACUCUGGAACUGCCAUUAAAACUUUUCAGCUAGAGUAUGAUAGAGGAAAGCAGAAUUUCUAGUGUAGAGGUGAAAUUCGUAGAUAUUAGAAAGAAUACCAAUUGCGAAGGCAGCUUUCUGGAUCAUUACUGACACUGAGGAACGAAAGCAUGGGUAGCGAAGAGGAUUAGAUACCCUCGUAGUCCAUGCCGUAAACGAUGUGUGUUAGACGUUGGAAAUUUAUUUUCAGUGUCGCAGGGAAACCGAUAAACACACCGCCUGGGGAGUACGACCGCAAGGUUAAAACUCAAAUGAAUUGACGGGGACCCGCACAAGUAGUGGAGCAUGUGGUUUAAUUCGAAGAUACGCGCAGAACCUUACCAACACUUGACAUGUUCGUCGCGACUCUAAGAGAUUAGAGUUUUCGGUUCGGCCGGACGAAACACAGGUGCUGCAUGGCUGUCGUCAGCUCGUGUCGUGAGAUGUUGGGUUAAGUCCCGCAACGAGCGCAACCCUCACUUUUAGUUGCCAUCAUUAAGUUGGGCACUCUGAAAGAACUGCCAGUGAUAAGCUGGAGGAAGGUGGGGAUGACGUCAAGUCCUCAUGGCCCUUACGUGUUGGGCUACACACGUGCUACAAUGGUAUCUACAACAGGAAGCAAGACUGCGAAGUUAAGCAAAUCCCUAAAAGAUACCUCAGUUCGGAUUGCACUCUGCAACUCGAGUGCAUGAAGCUGGAAUUACUAGUAAUCGUGGAUCAGCGUGCCACGGUGAAUGCGUUCCCGGGUCUUGUACACACCGCCCGUCACACCAUGGGAGUUGGUUCUACCUUAAGGCAAGGUUUUAAACCCUUGACCACGGUAUAGUCAGCGACUGGGGUGAAGUCGUAACAAGGUAACCG
Molecule: ribosomal RNA, 1437 nt
Filed under: uncultured bacterium
Lineage: Bacteria
Description: bacterial SSU rRNA
Rfam family: Bacterial small subunit ribosomal RNA
Source: RNAcentral